Mustela erminea (ermine) is the source of this 732-nucleotide long non-coding RNA. RefSeq lists it as uncharacterized. The transcript is spliced from 4 exons. NCBI's taxonomy places the organism in Eukaryota, Metazoa, Chordata, Mammalia, Carnivora, Mustelidae. The record is from RefSeq and is a predicted model, not a curated record.
UUCCACAUGGAAAAAAAAAAAAAAUACAUUGGUCCAGGACAUCCAGAAACAAGAGAAAAACGAGGAGAAAUGAAGGGGAUCUGAAACAAUAAAAGACUCAUAUACCAGAUUUGAGUAGUCACCCCUUUGAAUAGAGCAAUCAGCCCCCAGGAGUCUAGCGGUCCAUCUUUAACUUCCUUGCUGACGCCUGUUUUUCCAGGGUCCAGUAACUAGCACAGUGCUUGACACAUGUGUGACUGAGGCAGGGCAGCUCUGUAGUGCCAAGCUGUCCUGCAAAAUAUUUGGACAACAGAAAGCAACAGAAGACAGCCUCCAUGUUCCCUAGAAGGAGGCUCACUGCUUCCUUCUUUACCUUUCAACCACAGCUGAUCAACUUUCAUGGUAAUAAUAGUAAAAUGACAGCCACUACCACAACACAAUGAACAGCAUCAAUGAGUGCUUACCACAAGCUAGGCAUGAAGAAGCUUCCACAUCAGCUCAAACCACAGCCAGGAUGAGUCUCUUCUGAGUCAGGAAGGGUCCUAUUGGGAGGCUGGUAUAUUCAUUACCAAAUAUUGUUGAUUCUCCUUUCAAAGUCUUAAAUUUCUCUAUUUACUUCUACUCUCACUGCCAUUGUCUAAUUCAAGCAGUCAUCUCUGCUGGAUUAAUGCAGCAGACAUUCUCAAUUCUUAACUACUUUCAUUUGGUUUCUUAGAAGGCCUGCUGUUUAAAAUAUCUAUUAAUUUUUUAAAA